CUCAGGUGCCCCGUCAGCCUGGAGCAACCCCAUUGACUGGAUAUCUUUCAGUAGAAACUGGACAAGGACAAAUGUAAGAAUGAUCCAAAAUUAGAAAAGAUUUUAAAAGACUGAAACUAUUUCUAUAUUGACAUAAUAAUCAUGUGCAAAAAUAAACUAUCACAGUAUAAAGAAAAUGUUAAGAUAAUUUAUCUAGAGCAUCUACACUUGGAUGCUAAAAUUCAAUAUAUCUUUGAUAGAAGUGGAUAUUUUUAUGUAAGGGAUAAAGAGAAUAAAUUACUUCAGAUUUGUAUGAAGAAAGGAGACACAAUAAUUAUUCCUCAAGGGAUUUAUUACCACCUCAUAUUGGAUGAAAAGGACUAUGUAAAGACAAUGAAGCCAUCUGUUGGAGAACCAGUAUUACCAUGUGUAACUGACCAGCUGACCAAUUUGUUGCUCAAGGAUAGCUCAUCAACUUUUUGGCACAAACA
This 470-nucleotide long non-coding RNA is filed under the name Homo sapiens (human). RNAcentral describes it as "non-protein coding lnc-PCED1B-9:2". The record is from RNAcentral. Lineage: Eukaryota; Metazoa; Chordata; Mammalia; Primates; Hominidae.